UGCAUAUCAAUAAGCGCGGAGGAAAAGAAACCAACAGGGAUUGCCUCAGUAGCGGCGAGUGAAGCGGCAAGAGCUCAGAUUUGAAAUCGUGCUUUGCGGCACGAGUUGUAGAUUGCAGGUUGGAGUCUGUGUGGAAGGCGGUGUCCAAGUCCCUUGGAACAGGGCGCCCAGGAGGGUGAGAGCCCCGUGGGAUGCCGGCGGAAGCAGUGAGGCCCUUCUGACGAGUCGAGUUGUUUGGGAAUA
RNAcentral lists this ribosomal RNA (243 nucleotides) under uncultured Pichia. Its description in RNAcentral is "partial large subunit ribosomal RNA". It matches the Rfam family "Eukaryotic large subunit ribosomal RNA", at positions 37 to 282 of the family's 3401-position model. The record is from RNAcentral. Lineage: Eukaryota; Fungi; Ascomycota; Saccharomycetes; Saccharomycetales; Saccharomycetaceae.